Molecule: unclassified non-coding RNA, 2012 nt
Filed under: Leishmania donovani
Lineage: Eukaryota; Euglenozoa; Kinetoplastea; Trypanosomatida; Trypanosomatidae
Description: gene:LdHU3.05.0560(CDS-product:hypothetical_prote in_conserved)
Source: RNAcentral
CGAACCACAUAUCGUGUUUUACUUUGUGUGUCCGUUCACCCGCUGCCACCGUCGCCGCCCCCUCCCGUCUCCCUCCCUCAGCACACCAUCCCCUCCACAAUCAUCAGCAAGCACUAGGGGCAGAGGUCGUCUCUGAUUCGAGUAUGAGCCGGUUAGCCCGCGCGCUAGCAAAGCCCUUCACGGUGCCGGUAGCCAUGUGCACAAGGCAUGUAGCGGCAAUGGACGAGCCGCUGAAGCGGCACAUCGACGCCUAUGCGGCGCGAGGAGAGGACAUCACGAUCGCCGUCUGGCGCGAGUAUGUGGACGGGCAGCGGGCGCUGCUGCCGUACCGGUGGGCAAAGUUUCGGAGCGAGGUGGCGUAUCUGGCCUCGGGACAGAUGGCCAUCACGGACUUGACCUUCGCCGACCUUCUGGUCUUCGUGCGCUUUCUCACGAAGUGUCUCUUCAUCUUUAUCGUCGCCGUGAUGGUCGGCCGCCGCUCCGUCUUCCCGUCGCUGGAGCCGACAUCGCCGUUCGUGGAGGAAAUCGUAAAGAACUGGCAACCGAACCGGCUGCGCGGGGUGGCAGGCGCGGAGUAUAUGGCGCGCGAUCAGGCAGCAGCUGCUGAUAUGGCCGCCGAUAAGGCGGAGAAGUCACCGAUCUCGUAAGCUGCUGUACGAUGGGGAGGCGAGGGGGAAGGCGUGCUGACGAGGAAGAGCGCAACGAGAGAAAGACGCGGGAGGCAAGAAGCGCAGCCAUAGAUGUAUAAGGAAGGUGUAUCUGCCUGUCUGUGCUGGUGGGGUCGUUGUGCAGCACUAUGUUGCAGACACGAUUGGCGUGCCUCCCCACUCCUUCCUUCUUUUUCCGCACCCCACCCAGCCUUUUUUUUUUGCCAGCAUCCGCGCCUGAUGUUGUCGAGCAUCGUGGCGGAGUGACACCCUUAACUCUCUCAGCGUGUGUGUCUGUGAGUGUGUGUGUUCCCCGUGAUGUGGUGCCGCGUUGACUUCCGCGGCAUCUUUGGCGUCUCACUCUCUGUUGUCGCUGCGUCGGCUUCUUCGCCGGUGAUAUACCUGCGCCUGUGCCUGCGUGUGCGCGUGCGCGCCUUUCACUCGCCUGUUUUUUUUUUCUCCCCCCCCCUAGUAGUAGUAGUAGUCAGAGCAGUGGCUGUGAUACAGAAGAGGGAGCGGGAGCCAGCGUGUGUGUACCUUCUUCGCGCAUGCGGGGUCCGUUUUUGCGUAGUUAGCAACUGGAAAGGGGCUGAGAUGCACAAAGAGAGGCAGGGAAGAAGGAAGGCGGCAAGAGACCGGGUGCAGCACGCCGGUCUUUGACGUCUCACCUGAUGGCUUUCCGUCGUCGUUCCUCCCGCCCCCACUCCCACUUCUCCGCUCAGCGCCAUCUCCUACCCUUUUCAAGCUAAGUGCUGUCGUCAUUGUGGUCCCUUCUGCCCUCCCCAUCCCGACGCCUCUUCCUCUCUGGACACAGGCACGCGUGGAGUGGGGGGGUACCACAUGGCUCACUAGCUCCAUUCAUCGCCCUCCAUCCCCGUUUUCCUUCUGAGGUCUCACGUGGGAAUGGGAGGCGAGGAGUGGGGAGAGGGAGGGAUUCACCGCCGCCGUUCUCCUCUCUUGCUUGAUCCGCUGCAGGUUGAAGAGCCGUCCGCUCACCCCUUUCUCCUCCUUCCAGCUUCAGCUCCGUACCGCUCCGCCUUUCCGCCUGCCCCCUCCCCCUUCCUCUCUCUUUCUCUUCCUCCGCCCGCCCCUGAGACCCCGCGGGUGCUGGUCUCCAAGACCGCUCUCACACGUCCGUCUUCCGGCGCGUACCCCGCCGCCCCUUGCCCCAUUCUAGCCGCCAUUCCGCACCAUCGCACGCACCGCGAGGCAGAGAGUCGCCUGUAGCGGUGCAUGCAUGUAUGCCAUGUGUGUUGGUGUGUGUAUCGCUGCCGGACCUUCGGCGCCCUUUCGGACGGAGUCCAGCAGCGGAGAAAAAAGAACAGGCUCCCGUACACCACAGGAGAACCAGCAGCAAACGCCAUU